This is a long non-coding RNA of Mus musculus (house mouse), 383 nucleotides long. RefSeq annotates it as predicted gene, 52556. The record is from RefSeq and is a predicted model, not a curated record. The transcript is spliced from 3 exons. Lineage: Eukaryota; Metazoa; Chordata; Mammalia; Rodentia; Muridae.
UCUCUCUUUUUUCUCUCUUUAGAAAACUAGUUACAGAUGCGAAGGAAAGCUAGACAACUCGUUCUCCUCAUGUUUCUGGAAAGCUGACAUGACGUCACACAAAGCUUUCAUCAGCCGUGUCAGCAGAAUUGGGAAGUCUGUGGUUGCUCAAUGGUUUUCCUGGUAACAGAAAGUGGACACACGAGGACUUUGAAGAAAUGAAGACCCUGAGACCCAUUCUUCUCACUUGCGACACGGGGACAGGAAGUCCCUCCCCAGUUCCAGCAAAACCAGGGUUUAAAGAGCUCUACAAAACAUCACAGGACCAACAGACAGAUGUGCCAACCAAUAGAGGACCCAGAAAUCCACACACCCCACUCCAGCAACCUGACUUCCUAUAAAGG